GAUGAAGAACGCAGCGAAAUGCGAUAAGUAAUGUGAAUUGCAGAAUUCAGUGAAUCAUCGAAUCUUUGAACGCACAUUGCGCCCCUUGGUAUUCCGAGGGGCAUGCCUGUUCGAGCGUCAUUAUAACCCCUCAAGCUCAGCUUGGUGUUGGGGCCUGCUGCACUGGCAGCCCUUAAAAUCAGUGGCGGCGCCAUCUGGCUCUAAGCGUAGUAAUUCUUCUCGCUAUGGAGUCCUGGUGGAUGCUUGCCAUCAACCCCCAAUUUUUCUAUGGUUGACCUCGGAUCAGGUAGGGAUAACCGCUGAACUUAAGCAUAUCAAUAAGCGGAGGA
RNAcentral lists this unclassified non-coding RNA (329 nucleotides) under soil metagenome. Its description in RNAcentral is "partial contains 5.8S ribosomal RNA, internal transcribed spacer 2, and large subunit ribosomal RNA". The stretch from base 1 to 120 matches the Rfam family "5.8S ribosomal RNA", at positions 35 to 154 of the family's 154-position model. The record is from RNAcentral.